Molecule: ribosomal RNA, 1240 nt
Filed under: metagenome
Description: bacterial SSU rRNA
Rfam family: Bacterial small subunit ribosomal RNA
Source: RNAcentral
GCAAGGCCUUGCGCUCUUUGAGCGGCCGAUGUCAGAUUAGCUAGUUGGUGAGGUAACGGCUUACCAAGGCGACGAUCUGUAGCGGGUCUGAGAGGAUGAUCCGCCACACUGGAACUGAGACACGGUCCAGACUCCUACGGGAGGCAGCAGUGGGGAAUUUUGGACAAUGGGGGCAACCCUGAUCCAGCCAUGCCGCGUGAGUGAAGAAGGCCUUCGGGUUGUAAAGCUCUUUCGGCCGGGAAGAAAUCGCAUGGGCCAAUACCCUGUGUGGAUGACGGUACCGGAAUAAGAAGCACCGGCUAACUACGUGCCAGCAGCCGCGGUAAUACGUAGGGUGCGAGCGUUAAUCGGAAUUACUGGGCGUAAAGCGUGCGCAGGCGGUUUUGUAAGACAGGCGUGAAAUCCCCGGGCUCAACCUGGGAACUGCGUUUGUGACUGCAAGGCUAGAGUACGGCAGAGGGGGGUGGAAUUCCACGUGUAGCAGUGAAAUGCGUAGAGAUGUGGAGGAACACCAAUGGCGAAGGCAGCCCCCUGGGUCGAUGCUGACGCUCAUGCACGAAAGCGUGGGUAGCAAACAGGAUUAGAUACCCUGGUAGUCCACGCCCUAAACUAUGUCAACUAGGUGUUGGGUGGGUAAAACCAUUUAGUACCGUAGCUAACGCGUGAAGUUGACCGCCUGGGGAGUACGGCCGCAAGGUUAAAACUCAAAGGAAUUGACGGGGACCCGCACAAGCGGUGGAUGAUGUGGAUUAAUUCGAUGCAACGCGAAAAACCUUACCUACCCUUGACAUGCCAGGAACUUGCCAGAGAUGGCUUGGUGCCCGAAAGGGAGCCUGGACACAGGUGCUGCAUGGCUGACGUCAGCUCGUGUCGUGAGAUGUUGGGUUAAGUCCCGCAACGAGCGCAACCCUUGUCGUUAAUUGCCAUCAUUUAGUUGGGCACUUUAGCGAGACUGCCGGUGACAAACCGGAGGAAGGUGGGGAUGACGUCAAGUCCUCAUGGCCCUUAUGGGUAGGGCUUCACACGUCAUACAAUGGUCGGUACAAAGGGUCGCCAAGCCGCGAGGUGGAGCCAAUCCCAGAAAGCCGAUCGUAGUCCGGAUUGCAGGCUGCAACUCGCCUGCAUGAAGUCGGAAUCGCUAGUAAUCGUGGAUCAGCAUGUCACGGUGAAUACGUUCCCGGGUCUUGUACACACCGCCCGUCACACCAUGGGAGCGGGUUCCGCCAGAAGUAGGUAGCUC